This 203-nucleotide long non-coding RNA is filed under the name Elaeis guineensis (African oil palm). RNAcentral describes it as "long non-coding RNA (EGUI_LNC063898)". Lineage: Eukaryota; Viridiplantae; Streptophyta; Magnoliopsida; Arecales; Arecaceae. The record is from RNAcentral.
GAGGCUAUGGAUCGCCUGGUGGAUGCUCUACGGGGAGGCAUCAGGUAAGGGUCUAGUAGAAGAAGGAGAAGAGAAUGUCGGAGAAGAUGACCGGAAUCAGUCCCGUUGAGCACUCCUUUAAGAACAAGGGUACUGCAAAGACACACGACCCCCUUCCUCUAGCGCCAAUUCUGUUGGUGCAGAAUUCCAUCGAAGUCGGAGAA